Molecule: long non-coding RNA, 144 nt
Organism: Rhodamnia argentea
Lineage: Eukaryota; Viridiplantae; Streptophyta; Magnoliopsida; Myrtales; Myrtaceae
Exons: 3
Source: RefSeq, a predicted model, not a curated record
CUCGGAGAUGAGCUCCAGCAGCACUUCCGUUACUUUUAGUAUCUCCUUGUUGUAUUCUUCAGUUACUUCCCUGGAUCAGACAGGCAUAUAUAUUACUGCUGUAGUGGUGCAAUCGAGCAUUUUUUUUUUUUGGCGGUGUUGAGG